AUGGUCCAUCUUCACCAUCCUCUGCUCCUUGAAUCCAUACCCGUCAACCAGAUACAGGUCGAGCCUCAACCAAUCGGGGUCUGCAGCACCACCAGCAGGCGCCGCCUCGUUCUCCAUCGGGAUCGAAGCCCCCUCCGUCGAGAUCGAUCGAUUCCGAGGGUGGAUAGUGUAGGCCGGGUGCCCUGCCGUGCCGUACAUAUAGUCGUCCCAAGGGCUCGCCCUAAUCGAAACGGACUCCUUAGCAGACGGCCCAUGGACGUCUACCACAGCCCUAAUUUCAGUGAUUCGAAGCCUAGACUAUGUGCUUCGGCCACCUGA
Molecule: ribosomal RNA, 318 nt
Filed under: Triticum aestivum (bread wheat)
Lineage: Eukaryota; Viridiplantae; Streptophyta; Magnoliopsida; Poales; Poaceae
Description: partial small subunit ribosomal RNA
Source: RNAcentral